AGUAGGGCCUGCCCACUGAAAUUUUAAAGGGCCGCAGUAUUUUAACUGUGCAAAGGUAGCAUAAUCAUUAGUUUUUUAAUUGAAAGCUGGUAUGAAUGGUUUGAUGAAAAAAUUUCUGUUUCAAUAUUAAUUUUUUAAAAUUUUAUUUUUAAGUUAAAAAGCUUAAAUAUUUGUAAAAGACGAGAAGACCCUAUAGAGUUUAAUUAAUUAUAAAAUUUUUAAUUUAAGAAUUUAUUUUUAAAAAUUUAAUUAUUAAUUUAAUUGGGGUGAUUAAAAAAUUAAAUAAACUUUUUUUAUAUAAAUACAUUUAUUUAUGAAUAUUUGAUCCAUUGAGUAUGAUUAUAAGAAU
Molecule: ribosomal RNA, 349 nt
Filed under: Scymnus alishanensis
Lineage: Eukaryota; Metazoa; Arthropoda; Insecta; Coleoptera; Coccinellidae
Description: partial large subunit ribosomal RNA
Source: RNAcentral